Molecule: long non-coding RNA, 357 nt
Filed under: Brassica napus (rape)
Lineage: Eukaryota; Viridiplantae; Streptophyta; Magnoliopsida; Brassicales; Brassicaceae
Description: long non-coding RNA (BNAP_LNC026188)
Source: RNAcentral
CAUCACUGUAUACAUACUACUAAAAAGCUUAUAAAAAUCGGAUAGCAAUGCAUGCUAAAAGUUAUAUAUGUAGACCAAUGAUUACGAGUGAUGAUAAUUAAGAAUUAACUAUAUGUGGGGGAAAGGAUGCAACAUCGAGCUCUCUCUAUUCUCUUUCUCGCUUAGUUUUCACCGUCGUUCUCUUCCGGCAUCGGCUGGCCGUUCGCCUGUGUCGGAGAUCCCCUCUUUCCCACCGUUCGCCUGUGUCGGAGAUCCCCUCUUUCCCUUCCCUCGUUUUCCUUUUGCCCCUUGGUGGUCCUCUUCUCCUCUCCCGAUAUGCUCGGGGCUCUGGGGGUCGUAGCCGUCCAUGUAUCUUAG